This is a long non-coding RNA of Crotalus tigris (Tiger rattlesnake), 404 nucleotides long. RefSeq lists it as uncharacterized. The record is from RefSeq and is a predicted model, not a curated record. NCBI's taxonomy places the organism in Eukaryota, Metazoa, Chordata, Lepidosauria, Squamata, Viperidae. The transcript has 3 exons.
AUAAUCCACACGCCCCACUAAAAAGCAAAGUCUGCAAGAGGCUGGGGAGGAAGCAAAGAAUUGAACAAGCUUCUUUUCGACUGUCCUGAUACGAUCUGCAGCAAAUUAAAAAAUGUCUGGAGUAGCACUAAAGCAGGCAGAAACUCAACUGAUGCAAGCAUAUUCAACGUUGCAAUUCCAAGUGGGAGAAAAGUGGAAGACAAGUAUCUCUGGUUUCUGAUAGCGAGUUUGCUGAUCUUCAAUGGACUUAAGAAAUACAGAAGUGAAAGCUGGACUGUCUGGUGAAGAACUUAUGUCCUGAUCUGUUUCUAAUUGGAAACUGGGAAAGAAGUUUCAGCAUUUAUUUUUCUUCACCACUCACUGGGACCAGAUACUUGCUCUCUGAAAUAAAGAACUGAAUUUAC